RNAcentral lists this ribosomal RNA (492 nucleotides) under uncultured bacterium. RNAcentral describes it as "partial 16S ribosomal RNA". It matches the Rfam family "Bacterial small subunit ribosomal RNA", at positions 29 to 507 of the family's 1533-position model. The record is from RNAcentral.
AUUGAACGCUGGCGGCAUGCUUUACACAUGCAAGUCGAACGGUAACAGGCCUUCGGGUGCUGACGAGUGGCGAACGGGUGAGUAAUGCAUCGGAACGUACCCAGAGGUGGGGGAUAACGCAGCGAAAGCUGUGCUAAUACCGCAUGUGAUCUGAGGAUGAAAGCGGGGGACCGAGCAGCAAUGUUUGGCCUCGCGCCUUUGGAGCGGCCGAUGUCGGAUUAGCUAGUUGGUGGGGUAAAGGCCUACCAGGGCGACGAUCCGUAGCUGGUCUGAGAGGACGACCAGCCACACUGGGACUGAGACACGGCCCAGACUCCUACGGGAGGCAGCAGUGGGGAAUUUUGGACAAUGGGCGCAAGCCUGAUCCAGCAAUGCCGCGUGCGGGAAGAAGGCCUUCGGGUUGUAAACCGCUUUUGGCAGGAACGAAACGGUGUCCGCUAAUACCGGGCGCUAAUGACGGUACCUGCAGAAUAAGCACCGGCUAACUACGUG